RNAcentral lists this ribosomal RNA (408 nucleotides) under uncultured bacterium. Its description in RNAcentral is "partial 16S ribosomal RNA". It matches the Rfam family "Bacterial small subunit ribosomal RNA", at positions 28 to 526 of the family's 1533-position model. The record is from RNAcentral.
GACGAACGCUGGCGGCGUGCUUAACACAUGCAAGUCGAACGAAGUGGCGAACGGGUGAGUAACGCGUAAUUAACCUGCCCUUCAGAGGGGGACAACAGUUGGAAACGACUGCUAAUACCGCAUACUGAAGGAGGGGAUUGCGUCUGAUUAGCUAGUUGGUGGGGUAACGGCCCACCAAGGCUAUGACGCGUAACUGGGCUGAGGUGAGGAUCAGUCACAUGGGAACUGAGACACGGUCCAAACGCCUGCGGGAGGCAGCAGUAGAGAAUAUUGCGCAAUGGAGGAAACCCUGACGCAGCAACGCCGCGUGGAGGAUGACAAUUUGCGGAGCGUAGACUCCUUUUGUUAGGGAAGCGGAACCUAACGAAUAAGCACCGGCUAACUCCGUGCCAGCAGCCGCGGUAAUAC